AUGAACGCUAGCGGCAGGCUUAAUACAUGCAAGUCGAGGGGCAGCAGGACUGUAGCAAUACAGUUGCUGGCGACCGGCAAACGGGUGCGGAACACGUACGCAACCUUCCUUCAAAUGAGGAAUAGCCUUUCGAAAGAGAGAUUAAUACCUCGUAACAUUUUCUGGUGGCAUCACUGGAUUAUUAUAGCUCCGGCGUUUGAAGAUGGGCGUGCGCCUGAUUAGGUAGUUGGCGGAGUAACAGCCCACCAAGCCUACGAUCAGUAACUGGUGUGAGAGCACGACCAGUCACACGGGCACUGAGACACGGGCCCGACUCCUACGGGAGGCAGCAGUAAGGAAUAUUGGUCAAUGGACGCAAGUCUGAACCAGCCAUGCCGCGUGGAGGAUGAAGGUCCUCUGGAUUGUAAACUUCUUUUAUCGGAGAAGAAACCCUCAAAUUCUUUUGGGGUUGACGGUACCCGAUGAAUAAGCACCGGCUAACUCCGUGCCAGCAGCCGCGGUAAUACGGAGGGUGCAAGCGUUAUCCGGAUUCACUGGGUUUAAAGGGAGCGUAGGUGGGAUGGUAAGUCAGUGGUGAAAUCUCCGGGCUUAACUCGGAAACUGCCGUUGAUACUAUCAUUCUUGAAUAUUGUGGAGGUAAGCGGAAUAUGUCAUGUAGCGGUGAAAUGCUUAGAUAUGACAUAGAACACCGAUAGCGAAGGCAGCUUGCUACACAAUUAUUGACACUGAGGCUCGAAAGCGUGGGGAUCAAACAGGAUUAGAUACCCUGGUAGUCCACGCCCUAAACGAUGGAUACUCGACAUACGCGAUACACAGUGUGUGUCUGAGCGAAAGCAUUAAGUAUCCCACCUGGGAAGUACGACCGCAAGGUUGAAACUCAAAGGAAUUGACGG
Molecule: ribosomal RNA, 893 nt
Filed under: uncultured bacterium
Lineage: Bacteria
Description: bacterial SSU rRNA
Rfam family: Bacterial small subunit ribosomal RNA
Source: RNAcentral